RNAcentral lists this ribosomal RNA (154 nucleotides) under Clytia hemisphaerica. RNAcentral describes it as "5.8S ribosomal RNA". It matches the Rfam family "5.8S ribosomal RNA". Rfam says of the family: 5.8S ribosomal RNA (5.8S rRNA) is a component of the large subunit of the eukaryotic ribosome. It is transcribed by RNA polymerase I as part of the 45S precursor that also contains 18S and 28S rRNA. Lineage: Eukaryota; Metazoa; Cnidaria; Hydrozoa; Leptothecata; Clytiidae. The record is from RNAcentral.
AACUUCUAACGGUGGAUCUCUUGGCUCGUGCAUCGAUGAAGAACGUUGCCAGUUGCGAUAAGUAGUGUGAAUUGCAGAAUGAAGUGAAUCGUCGAAUCUUUGAACGCAAAUUGCACUCUCUGGAUAUCCGGAGAGUACGUCUGUCUGAGCGUCG